This 460-nucleotide ribosomal RNA is filed under the name uncultured bacterium. RNAcentral's name for it is "partial 16S ribosomal RNA". It matches the Rfam family "Bacterial small subunit ribosomal RNA", at positions 338 to 795 of the family's 1533-position model. The record is from RNAcentral.
CCUACGGGUGGCAGCAGUGAGGAAUAUUGGUCAAUGGGCGCGAGCCUGAACCAGCCAAGUAGCGUGAAGGAUGAAUGCCCUACGGGUUGUAAACUUCUUUUAUAAAGGACUAAAGUGAGGCACGUGUGCCUUUUUGUAUGUACUUUAUGAAUAAGGAUCGGCUAGCUCCGUGCCAGCAGACGCGGUAAGACGGAGGAUCCGAGCGUUAUCCGGAUUUAUUUGGUUUAACGCGAGAGUAGAUGGGUUGUUAAGUCAGUUGUGAAAGUUUGCGGCUGAACCGUAAAAUUGCAAUUGAUACUGGCAGCCUUGAGUACAGUUGAGGUAGGCGGAAUUCGUGGUGUAGCGGUGAAAUGCUUAGAUAUCACGAAGAACUCCGAUGGCGAAGGCAGCUUACUAAACUGCCACUGACAUUGAUGCUCGAAAGUGUGGGUAGCAAACAGGAUUAGAGACCCGUGUAGUC